RNAcentral lists this ribosomal RNA (406 nucleotides) under uncultured bacterium. RNAcentral describes it as "partial 16S ribosomal RNA". It matches the Rfam family "Bacterial small subunit ribosomal RNA", at positions 30 to 526 of the family's 1533-position model. The record is from RNAcentral.
AUUGAACGCUGGCGGCAGGCCUAACACAUGCAAGUCGAGCGAGCGGCGGACGGGUGAGUAAUGUAUGGGGCUCUGCCCGAUAGAGGGGGAUAACUACUGGAAACGGUGGCUAAUACCGCAUACUAUCGGAUGAAACCAUAGGGGAUUAGCUAGUAGGGGGGGUAAAGGCUCACCUAGGCGACGAUCUCUAGCUGGUCUGAGAGGAUGACCAGCCACACUGGAACUGAGCCACGGUCCAUACUCCUACGGGAGGCAGCAGGGGGGAAUAUUGCACAAUGGGCGCAAGCCUGAUGCAGCCAUGCCGCGUGUAUGAAGAAGGCCUUCGGGUUGUAAAGUACUUUCAGCGAGGAGGCGUUACUCGCAGAAGAAGCACCGGCUAACUCCGUGCCAGCAGCCGCGGUAAUUC